CUCUCUGUAGCUCAGUUGGUUAGAGCGCUGCACCGGAAUCGCAGGGCCGUAGGUUCAAUUCCUACCAGAGGAC
This 73-nucleotide transfer RNA is filed under the name Paramuricea clavata. It matches the Rfam family "tRNA". From Rfam's summary of the family: Transfer RNA (tRNA) molecules are approximately 80 nucleotides in length. Their secondary structure includes four short double-helical elements and three loops (D, anti-codon, and T loops). The record is from Rfam by way of RNAcentral. Lineage: Eukaryota; Metazoa; Cnidaria; Anthozoa; Malacalcyonacea; Plexauridae.